Non-coding RNA from Odocoileus virginianus texanus, 752 nucleotides. NCBI's taxonomy places the organism in Eukaryota, Metazoa, Chordata, Mammalia, Artiodactyla, Cervidae. The record is from RefSeq and is a predicted model, not a curated record.
GUGGUCCCUUCCGCUCUUCAGAAAUAUCCCGAGCGCCCUGCUCCGGCGGCCAGCCUGCCUCCUUCUCUGGCGCCAGGAGUGGGGCUGGGAAAGCUGACCGUGUUUGCUUCUUGAGGCUGUGUUGACUGGGUGGUGAUGAGCCCUCCGGGGAAGGUACUGACUGUGGUUUCCACAGGAGCCGAGCUGAGAGAGGAGAACCCGGAUGGGAGUCGCGUCUAGAAGCUCAGCGUCUUAAACCAGCGUCUCCCUCUGAACCAACCUGAGGAGGAAUGAGGGGACCACGGAGGUCUGGAAGCCAUCCUCUGCCGGGUGGAGCAAAGCAGGACUUUCUGACCUUCUGACAAAUGACAUUCAAGAGGAACGGAAGCUCAGGUGUUCCUAAUGACUGACUGAGGCUGUGCAAAUUGAUCAUUGUUCACUUCGUGAACCCGAAGUGAGCAUUUUCCUCUGUUCAGCCCAGUCUCCAUGUAUGUAUGGGAUCCGUGACUGGUUUGCUUUCUUCUUUUUUUCUCUCUUUUUUCUUUUCUGAAAGAGCAAUAAUGUCGACGCAGCUGUUGCCGCCUUUCUUACAAAUGCUGCACAGUGAAUCAUCUUAGCCUCUCUGUAAAAUUUUAACUUAAUGGAGUCCUGGCAUUUCUGAUGAGACGAGGAACUUAAUUUUAUAGAACAACCUAUUGAACAAGCUGUUCUUGGACAUUCCCAUCUCAACUAAAUGUUAAAAGUAUUAAAAUUCACAUUAGCGCAAGAGGAAA